Molecule: long non-coding RNA, 1083 nt
Organism: Haliotis rufescens (red abalone)
Lineage: Eukaryota; Metazoa; Mollusca; Gastropoda; Lepetellida; Haliotidae
Exons: 4
Source: RefSeq, a predicted model, not a curated record
CACAUGUCCAUGUAGUAAACUUAGUCACGGAACACGAUACGACUUGUAGCAGUCACAUAUCGGGCGGAAAUAUUACGUGGGAAAGGCGCUCAGUGCCUACUAGUUUAUGCACGAAAGACAUCUCGGAAUAGUCAUUCGUUUCGGAUAUUUCAUUGUUACAUCUCAGUGUAUCCUUCUGCCACUGACCUUCCGUCGUUGACUGUCCAUCACUGCUGUUGCCUAUAUCCAGUAGCCGUUGCAGAGAGCUGAUACAGUGGACAUGCAAUGAGUGAACAAGUGACUUGCCUUUGCAUGUGUUUGCGACGGAUCCAAAACUCCAAGAAAGCGACCCAUCAUGUGUAUGUCUCUAGAUUCCAGUGAAAUCGUGCUUGUGGUGUGCGUUGUCGUUGCAUUCGUUGUUGACGUCAUCCUCCUUGGGUACUACAUCAUCAACCGGAACAGGAAGCCAGCAACAUGUGCAGCUAUUGUGGAGUAUGCCAGUCAUCAACCACACUGGUCAGAUCGUGACGACACUUCAGAACAGAAUGAAGAAGUGAAAGUCGUUAUCGUUGACAAUAGGCCGGAAGGGAAACCUUAUCAAGACACUCGAGAAUGUGGUGAGGACUAUGACACGUUGUGGAGUGUUAACAGAAACAGAUUACAGUUUGACAACAGGACGGACACGACAAGUGUUUACAGUCACAUGAUCCGGCGUGACAAUGCAUGUGUUUGGUCUGACGAAAACAAUUACGAUAGGGCUGUAUUGUCUACUUGUGACAGGAGAACGAUCAGUGCCUUAUACGAAAGGGUGCAUAUGUCAGGGGAAUAGUUGUUGAGAAGUGUCAGGAGGAACUACUUGCCUGCUAUCCCGUGGUUGGUAACAUUUCCGUUGGGAUAGGUGAAAUGUAUUCCUUUCUGCCUGACUUAAGACAGUGAUCUGUGACUCACUGGCCUCAACAGGAGCCACCUUUGUGACUUAAAAGCUGUGGUGAGGUGAGGUGAGGUUAAAUUGGGUUUAACGUCGCGUCCAAGAUUAUUGCACUUAUAUAGCGACGUGCAUGCACGUGUGUGUGUGUGUGUGGCUGCUUGUACUAGUCCGGACUG